This 21-nucleotide unclassified non-coding RNA is filed under the name Mus musculus (house mouse). Its description in RNAcentral is "oocyte_clustered_small_RNA8656". The record is from RNAcentral. Lineage: Eukaryota; Metazoa; Chordata; Mammalia; Rodentia; Muridae.
UGAUCGUUAUGUGGACACCAG